UGGGGAAUAUUGCGCAAUGGGGGAAACCCUGACGCAGCGACGCCGCGUGCGGGAUGAAGGCCUUCGGGUUGUAAACCGCUUUUGAUUGGGAGCAAGCCUUUUGGGUGAGUGUACCUUUCGAAUAAGCAUCGGCUAACUCCGUGCCAGCAGCCGCGGUAAUACGGAGGAUGCGAGCGUUAUCCGGAAUUAUUGGGUUUAAAGGGUGCGUAGGUUGCAAGGGAAGUCAGGGGUGAAAAGCUAUAGCUCAACUAUGGUCUUGCCUUUGAAACUCUCUAGCUAGAGUGUACUGGAGGUACGUGGAACGUGUGGUGUAGCGGUGAAAUGCAUAGAUAUCACACAGAACUCCGAUUGCGCAGGCAGCGUACUACAUUACAACUGACACUGAAGCACGAAAGCGUGGGUAUCAAACAGG
RNAcentral lists this ribosomal RNA (412 nucleotides) under Verrucomicrobiota bacterium. Its description in RNAcentral is "Verrucomicrobia bacterium partial 16S ribosomal RNA". It matches the Rfam family "Bacterial small subunit ribosomal RNA", at positions 355 to 776 of the family's 1533-position model. Lineage: Bacteria; Pseudomonadati; Verrucomicrobiota. The record is from RNAcentral.